RNAcentral lists this transfer RNA (73 nucleotides) under Stegodyphus mimosarum. It matches the Rfam family "tRNA". From Rfam's summary of the family: Transfer RNA (tRNA) molecules are approximately 80 nucleotides in length. Their secondary structure includes four short double-helical elements and three loops (D, anti-codon, and T loops). Further hydrogen bonds mediate the characteristic L-shaped molecular structure. tRNAs have two regions of fundamental functional importance: the anti-codon, which is responsible for specific mRNA codon recognition, and the 3' end, to which the tRNAs corresponding amino acid is attached (by aminoacyl-tRNA synthetases). tRNAs cope with the degeneracy of the genetic code in two manners: having more than one tRNA (with a specific anti-codon) for a particular amino acid; and 'wobble' base-pairing, i.e. permitting non-standard base-pairing at the 3rd anti-codon position. The record is from Rfam by way of RNAcentral. Lineage: Eukaryota; Metazoa; Arthropoda; Arachnida; Araneae; Eresidae.
GCUUUCGUGGUGUAGUGGUCAGCACGCUGGACGCGUAACCGAGAGGUCCGUGGUUCGAUUCCCGGCGAAGGAA